This 321-nucleotide ribosomal RNA is filed under the name uncultured Leptophryidae. Its description in RNAcentral is "SSU rRNA". It matches the Rfam family "Eukaryotic small subunit ribosomal RNA", at positions 634 to 955 of the family's 1831-position model. The record is from RNAcentral. Lineage: Eukaryota; Endomyxa; Vampyrellida; Leptophryidae.
AACUUUUGGUUCUCUAGGGUUGUCCCAUUCUCUCGUAGAAUGUUGUGACGAUUCUUGGGACCUUCCUGGUAGAAAGCAUUUCUGCCCUUUAUUGGGUUGGUUAUGUGAUCUUCCUCUUUUACUGUGAGAAAAACAAAGUGCUCAAAGCAGGCUUUACAGCUUGAAUGCGUUAGCAUGGAAUAAUAAGAUAGGACUUUGUUUCUAUUCUGUUGGCUCUGAGGAACAAAGUAAUGAUUGAUAGGGAUAGUUGGGGGUGCUCGUAUUUAACGGUCAGCGGUGAAAUGCAUGGACCCGUUAAAGACGAACCUAUGCGAAAGCAUU